UGUUCCUGCAUAGUGCAGAUUGUGUGGGCCUUGCAAGAAAAAUGAUGCAGUCGUUAAGACACUUUCUUGGAAAUUAGGACAGUUGUGGUCAGUUCCCUGUUCCACCACACUUUUUCUGGCAGUGGGUCGUCGGAUAUGGAUUGCUUAGAAAGGCUCUUGACAAGGCAGACAGGACAUAGGACAAUGAUCACCUUGAAGAACAUGAGUUUUUCUUGGCUUCAAUCCUUUGGAAUUACAGAAGAGCCACUCAGUUCACCCCACCCUUUUCCAUGAAUCUUCUCAGGAUGAUGUGCUGUAUCUGAAGUUCUGAUCACCUCUAAGUCUCAGAAGAGAGAAAGGUUUUGAGAUAAAACAAGUAUUUCCUACUUACAGUAGAGGAGCACUUCUUCACUCAUGGUCUGUCUGUCUUGGAGUGGAUCCCAAGAUGGAUUUUCAGAUCCCAGCUAUCUGAAAAUAUCUUCUGACAUUUUCAAGAAUGCGCUUCAGUUUUCUGGAGCUGCCAGCCCAGAACUGUCCUGCAUCUAAUGGAGGAGGAAUGAGAAGAGCUAGUACGGAACCAAACAGCUGAAUAAACAACUGAUUUUACAGCAAAGAUGUGUAGAAAUUAGUUUGACUAUUCAUAUUUGUUAUCCAACCAAGAAUACUAUUAAAGUGGUGAGAUCUGUAUGAAGUCCUCUGGAAGGUUUCAUGAACAGGUUAUACGGUUAAACAGUCAUGCUGUAAGAAAGAGAAAAUUAUUAUGCAAUUUACCAAAACCUCAGGAGACAUGGGACACUUUACUGACAGCUCCUUGCCUCUACAAGCCCAGGUAAAGCCCCAGGAUGUUGUCAAAUCCCUGAAAUCUGUCCUUUCCACUGAAUAUGGAAAUAAGCACUACGCACAGGACUAGUGAUUAGUGAAGGAUUUAAAAUCUGUUUUCUCAGAAUGGCUGGGUCAAGCAGAUUUUGUAUUUCAUCACGAGGACAGGACAGGAUCUAAUAUGGAUCUGACCUAUAGCAUUUUAAUGUACUCUGGAGGUACAGCAAACAAGGUUGAAUAACAGG
Dromaius novaehollandiae (emu) is the source of this 1043-nucleotide long non-coding RNA. RefSeq lists it as uncharacterized. The transcript has 5 exons. The record is from RefSeq and is a predicted model, not a curated record. NCBI's taxonomy places the organism in Eukaryota, Metazoa, Chordata, Aves, Casuariiformes, Dromaiidae.